Molecule: ribosomal RNA, 234 nt
Filed under: uncultured bacterium
Lineage: Bacteria
Description: partial 16S ribosomal RNA
Rfam family: Bacterial small subunit ribosomal RNA
Source: RNAcentral
CGGCGGACGGGUGAGUAACACGUGAGUUAUCUGCCCUUUAAGUGAAGGAUACCCUCGAGAAAUCGAGGUUAAUACUGCAUACGUCCCUUCGGGGAGAAAGGUGGCUUUAUGCUAUCGCUAAAGGAUGAGCUUGCGGACUAUUAGCUAGUUGGUAGGGUAAAGGCCUACCAAGGCUUUGAUGGUUAGCCGGCCUGAGAGGGUGAUCGGCCACAUUGGAACUGAGAUACGGUCCAG